GUUCCUACUAGGGACCUAUUUAAUCUUACUUUCUUGUACUGCUGAAGGAAUAUAAUGCAAAGCUCAAUGCCGUAGGGCCAGGGAAGGAGACAGCGGGAGCCAGAAGAGUCUUUGCUAUUUUUCCUCAAUGAUGGCAGUUGGCCUCUUUUCCACCUUGAUCUGAGAGCAUUAAGGAUUGAACUGUGAUGUUCCUCUCCGGGGAUUAGUAAACAAUAGCCCUUUUUCUCUCUUCUAGUUCCACUAGAUAUAACGCAGAUGGGAGCAGAUGAAAAUGAUAUCCAGCACAGCCUUGAAAACCAGGUCCCGAAGGAAGGAAACAGCCUCAAAGGAAGUUAAUGGAAGCGAGGAACUGCACAAUCCACCUAGGAAAAGGAUGGAAGAGUUUAGGCUAUAAAACCGAGAGAGAAAAUACUUCAUUUGAAGUCUCGUUUUUCUUUGCUGAUGGAUGACGUUCGUGGGAAUUUGAGGGGCUCGGCUCUCCCAGGGCUGGAUGAACAGAGGGUCCACAGUGGUGUAUCAGGUGUCUACUGCUGGUGGUUACCCGCCACCUGGUGGCUGACGAGGACCACUUGCUCAGCGAAUCCGAGUCCAGCUAUUCUCAGCCCACUCAGGAUGGCUCGCGAGCGCAUGCAGUAAGUUGGUGGGUAGAUCAGGUGGAGACUGCGACGGUGGAGAGGAUUUCUCUCACACAUGUCGUGGUUAGCUGAGUUUUAACUGGGGUGAUGAGACCACUGAGUGACAGAUCUCUCACCCCCAGUGGGCUGGCCCAGGCUCGAUCUUGGGACCACAGGGCGAGGUGGUGAGGAUGGGGGAACUGCAGGGCUCUUGAGCUCAAAAAGGGCACAUCUCUUCUGCCACAUUCUAUCCAGCAACGCACAUCACUGGGCUAAGUGAUGCUUUGACUUCUGUUACCUCAAGAUAGAAUGCACUUUCUUUUCCACGGCCCGUGGAACAUUUACCAAAAUUGUCAA
Eubalaena glacialis (North Atlantic right whale) is the source of this 971-nucleotide long non-coding RNA. RefSeq lists it as uncharacterized. NCBI's taxonomy places the organism in Eukaryota, Metazoa, Chordata, Mammalia, Artiodactyla, Balaenidae. The transcript is spliced from 3 exons. The record is from RefSeq and is a predicted model, not a curated record.